CUCGAGUACAUGAAGCUGGAAUCGCUAGUAAUCGCAAAUCAGAAUGUUGCGGUGAAUACGUUCCCGGGCCUUGUACACACCGCCCGUCACACCAUGGGAGUUGGAAGCACCCGAAGCCCAUGUCAAAGUGGUCGAAGGUAGGCUUGAUGAUUGGGGUGAAGUCGUAACAAGGUACC
This 176-nucleotide ribosomal RNA is filed under the name uncultured bacterium. RNAcentral describes it as "partial 16S ribosomal RNA". It matches the Rfam family "Bacterial small subunit ribosomal RNA", at positions 1311 to 1500 of the family's 1533-position model. The record is from RNAcentral.